Molecule: non-coding RNA, 45 nt
Filed under: Schistosoma margrebowiei
Lineage: Eukaryota; Metazoa; Platyhelminthes; Trematoda; Strigeidida; Schistosomatidae
Source: RNAcentral
AUCCGGCUGACGAGUCCCAAAUAUAAAGAAACGCGUGUCUUGGAU